Molecule: ribosomal RNA, 332 nt
Filed under: uncultured bacterium
Lineage: Bacteria
Description: partial 16S ribosomal RNA
Rfam family: Bacterial small subunit ribosomal RNA
Source: RNAcentral
CCUACGGGAGGCAGCAGUGGGGAAUAUUGCACAAUGGGGGAAACCCUGCUGCAGCAACGCCGCGUGAAGGCAGACGGUUUUCGGAUUGUAAACUUCUGUUCUUAGUGACGCAUAAUGACGGUAGCUAAGGAGCAAGCCACGGCUAACUACGUGCCAGCAUCCGCGGUCAUACGUAGGUGGCAAGCGUUGUCCGGAAUUACUGGGUGUAAAGGGAGCGCUGGCGGGAAGCCAAGUCAGCUGUGAAAACUACGGGCUUAAAUUGUAGACUGCAGGUGAAACUGGUUUUUUUGAGGGAAGUAGAGGUUGGGCGAAGUCCGGGGGGAGCGGGGAAA